UACAGAGGUCUCAAGCGUUGUUCGGAUUCAUUGGGCGUAAAGGGUGCGUAGGCGGCAGUGCAAGUCAGGUGUGAAAUCCCGGGGCUCAACCCCGGAACUGCACUUGAUACUGCUCUGCUAGAGUACUGGAGAGGAGACUGGAAUUUACGGUGUAGCAGUGAAAUGCGUAGAUAUCGUAAGGAAGACUAGUGGCGAAGGCGAGUCUCUGGACAGUUACUGACGCUGAGGCACGAAGGCCAGGGGAGCAAACGGG
This 253-nucleotide ribosomal RNA is filed under the name uncultured bacterium. RNAcentral's name for it is "partial 16S ribosomal RNA". It matches the Rfam family "Bacterial small subunit ribosomal RNA", at positions 524 to 776 of the family's 1533-position model. The record is from RNAcentral.